Stomoxys calcitrans (stable fly) is the source of this 236-nucleotide long non-coding RNA. RefSeq lists it as uncharacterized. The record is from RefSeq and is a predicted model, not a curated record. The transcript has 2 exons. NCBI's taxonomy places the organism in Eukaryota, Metazoa, Arthropoda, Insecta, Diptera, Muscidae.
CAUUGCUAUAUAAAGGUAAUGUUUGUGCCUUAAAACAGGGAAUUUCAUUAAGAAAACUCAAGAAAAUUGUUUGUGUUUUUUUAGUACAUCAUGAAAUACAUAUGCGCUGUCGUUUUAAUUGCCACCUUGAACUUUUGGGGUUCAGCUAUGGCCAAUCCUGUUUUCAGCUUCUUGGAUAGUGAUGUGGCAAGAACUAUUAUUAUAUAAAAACAAACAUAGCUCCAGAAGGAAUCCAA